ACGCUCGUCGUCGUCGUGGUCGUGGGAUCGCCGUCAUCGCAGUCGUACCUCAGUCCCACAGUGUCUGUCUAUUAUAAACUACAAACUACCCACAAUCCCUCAUUCCUACAUUGUGUCUUUAGAGAAGAUUGACAAGGCGCCAUUAAUGCUCCUGUAUUCUACACAAAAAACACAACAAAUAUCUCGCUUCGUCUCGCCUGCUUUUAGUUUCCAACCCAAAAAUACUUGGCAAAGGGUUUUUGAGAUGUCGGACCCAAAUGACCAACUUCAUCCGAACAUACCACCACCACCUCCUCCACCACAAUAUAUGAACACAGCGGUAGCUGCCGUUACUGCUGCUGGUCUUGUAGGCCCUCCACCACCAGCUGCCAUCGUUGGCACCGUGGGCACUUUCAACAACUAUCGUCCUGCGGUCGCAGUCAAUUCGGUCGCUGUGAACGCUGUCGGUGUGGUCAGUGGUGUCGGCGGUGCGGUCAUCGCAACAGGUGGCUACAGGACCGACUACAAUGACGCCUACCGGGGCGACUACGGCGCUGCCACCAGCUGCCCGCCGCCUGUCAUCCCUGUCGGCCUCGUGGCGGGCAGCAACAACCUCGUCACCGCCGCCGCCAGCACUGCCAUCACCGCGCCGACGUCGGGGAACACCGUCAGUCCUCCGCCGCCGCCGCCACCUGCUGUCGCCAACCCUGCCACCACCACUAGCACGAGUGGCAACAGUAACGCUGGUUACGACACCGGCUACUGCGAGAGUGACUACCGAGACGACUAUAACUACGAGGACAGACAUGGCUACCGAAAGGACUCGGAGUUCCGGGAUAGAGACAGGGACAGAUCUCAUCAGCCUGACAGGAGGGUGCAUGACAGACGCAGAGGUCGGGUGGUAGACCGAUCUCGGCGCGACCGGGAUCGUGACAGGGACCGUGAUCGAGACCGAGGCUUCGACCGAGAUCGAGACCGGAGCAGAAGUCGUGAUGGACGAGAUAGAAAGGACCGACCCUCUCGGGAACGAGGGGACCGAUACGAAGAAGGCUUUGAUUGUGAUAGUUCUAGUCGUGAUAGCGGGGAAAGUUUCAGGGACCAGGACAGCGGCCGAGAAGGUCGAGAGGACCGAGCUGGUGAGCGAUGGAUGACCGACACACCUACACACACCAUUCUUCUAAGAGGACUUCCAAACCAGAUUGACGAAAAGGAUAUAUUGACGGAACUAAUGAUAAUUGGACUCAGUGUCAAAGACGUUCGAUUAAUGAGGAAAAGUUCCGGUGCAUCCCGUGGGUUUGCUUUUGUGGAGUUUCAGAACGUAGCAGAUGCCCAGCGCUGGAUGGAACAGAAUCAGGGGUCGCUCUACCUGCAGGACCAGUUCCAUGUCACUAUGCACUACAGUCAGCCCAAAAUGGGGCCUGAGAAGGUACAGAAGUGUGACUGGGUUUGUACGAAGUGUGGAGCUCACAAUUUCAAACGAAGAGAUUUCUGUUUCCAAUGCAGUGUGUCACGAGAAGAAUCAGAACGAGCCAAAGAAGGAGAUGGAUUUGACCAAGUUGGAACAAACCCUUGCAAUACUUUGAUAUUCCGUGGUCUGGACGCCCUGACCACUGAAGAGACGUUGUCGCAAGCGCUGAGCCAGCAGAUGUCGCUUACACUGAAGAACAUUAAGAUUAUCCGUGAUGAACUAACGAACACGUCACAGGGCUACGGCUUUGCCGAAAUGGGUUCCAUCCUCGAGUCUACACAAGUCUUGGAGCAUUUACGCCAGAUGAACCCACCUUUUGAAGUGGAGGGCAAACUAAUCUUGGUAGCAUUUGCCAAGAACACCUUUAGUACAGUAAUGGCAACACUCAACAGCCGACCUAACUCUUACACGGGAGGUCAAAUGGUGAGUAAGCAGCGUUCCUGGAACUACGAUCAACAACAUGGUGAUUAUUAUUAUAAUCCGUCUGGUUAUGAACAUUCAACAUUCUACGACCAAAAUAAUCCUCACUAUGGCCAAGGUCAAGGUUAUGACUCCAGUUACUACAACCAAAAUUACAGCCAUCAAGCCGAUUCCACCAAUGCUGCAGCCGCCGUGGCACAAGCUGCCAUUCAACAAGCCCAAGCUGCAAAACAGUACCAGAAACAUUAUCAGAAACAGGUGCAAGAACAACAGAAAUUGGCUGAAAUGUCUCCCGAGCAGCGUUUGGCCCAUCUGGCUCAGAAUUGGUCACAACAAAAAAAUCUUUCUCCAUCUUCACAGUCUUCCCAGGCGCUAUCAGCAGCCGGAACCGCAGCCACGGCAGCCGCCGUAACAGUUGGCGCACCCACCACCGUCGACGUGAAUGCAGAUGGCAGCACAAUCACUGAUAGUUCUACGCAUAAAGGCUCGCCAACCGUUUCCAAACUGCCUGUUCUACAGAGUUCACAACCUGCCUUUCAGACGCCAACAGGAAUGCCAGUCAAUGACGAGUACCCCAAAUAUCCAUCACCUGAUGUUUGUACCUAUCAGUAUGACGACAGCUCUGGAUAUUACUACGAUCCUUCCACUGGACUCUAUUACGAUGCCAACUCUCAAUAUUAUUACAAUGCUUCCACGUGCCAAUUUUUGUACUGGGAUGCUGAGAAAUCCACUUAUCUACCUGCUCCAACUGGGGCUGGAGGUCAGCAAUGUGAUGACAAAGAUGGAGACAACAGAGGCAAAAAGAAGGAAGACAAGAAAGAAAAAGUGAAGAUUGCCAAAAAAAUUGCAAAGGAUAUGGAAAAAUGGGCGAAAACAUUGAACGCUCAAAAGGAGGCUAUCAAAGAAGGUUUUAAGAAGACAAGUGUAAAUAUCAUAGGCCCCAUUGCUCCUAUGAAACGGGUGAUUGAAGAACGUGAGUCUGCAACUGCUGACGCUGGCUAUGCAAUCCUUGAGAAAACGAGUAGCGGCAGAGGUCUAGAAGACAAACGGUUAAUGCCCCCACCUUGUCCAAUGACGCCUACUGAAAAAGCAGCCGCGGCAGCUGCAGCAGCUGCCGCCGCUACUGAGGCAGUAGCAGCCAACAAUCCGGCCCUUGUGGCCUCAUAUGGAGGUGACAGUGAUUCUGAGGACGAAUCAUUUGAGACAACGCCAGCCCCUGGCAAUACCCAACGAACCGGUGUCCUUGAUGAGGCCAAGCUGACUGACUGGAACAAACUCGCCUGUUUGCUGUGCAAACGACAGUUUCCCAGCAAAGAGGCCCUCACAAGACACACGCAGCUCUCUGAUUUACACAAGCAAAAUCUUGAAGUGAUGAGGAAAAAAUAUAGCUCUGGUGCAGCUGAUGGGGAUAAAAAAGGACCGCUACGAGGAACCAACCAAGCAAGGUAUCGGAAUUGAUAACAUUGGAAACAAACUGCUACAGAAGAUGGGGUGGAGUGAGGGACAAGGUCUGGGUAAAAAAGGUCAAGGGAUUGUUGCACCUAUCCAGGCCCAACGGAGAUUAGCGAGUGCGGGACUCGGUGCUCGGGGAGCAAACAUUGUCUGUGAUGUCAGCGACUCUUACAAAACGGCAGUGAAGAAAUCCAUGUUUGCACGUUACCAUGAACUCGAAUGAACUCAACAACA
This 3553-nucleotide unclassified non-coding RNA is filed under the name Octopus sinensis (East Asian common octopus). Its description in RNAcentral is "rNA-binding protein 5, transcript variant X12". The record is from RNAcentral. Lineage: Eukaryota; Metazoa; Mollusca; Cephalopoda; Octopoda; Octopodidae.